GAGUAAUGUCUGGGAAACUGCCUGAUGGAGGGGGAUAACUACUGGAAACGGUGGCUAAUACCGCAUAACGUCGCAAGACCAAAGAGGGGGACCUUCGGGCCUCUUGCCAUCAGAUGUGCCCAGAUGGGAUUAGCUAGUUGGUGAGGUAACGGCUCACCAAGGCGACGAUCCCUAGCUGGUCUGAGAGGAUGACCAGCCACACUGGAACUGAGACACGGUCCAGACUCCUACGGGAGGCAGCAGUGGGGAAUAUUGCACAAUGGGCGCAAGCCUGAUGCAGCCAUGCCGCGUGUAUGAAGAAGGCCUUCGGGUUGUAAAGUACUUUCAGCGGGGAGGAAGGUGUUGUGGUUAAUAACCGCAGCAAUUGACGUUACCCGCAGAAGAAGCACCGGCUAACUCCGUGCCAGCAGCCGCGGUAAUACGGAGGGUGCAAGCGUUAAUCGGAAUUACUGGGCGUAAAGCGCACGCAGGCGGUCUGUCAAGUCGGAUGUGAAAUCCCCGGGCUCAACCUGGGAACUGCAUUCGAAACUGGCAGGCUUGAGUCUUGUAGAGGGGGGUAGAAUUCCAGGUGUAGCGGUGAAAUGCGUAGAGAUCUGGAGGAAUACCGGUGGCGAAGGCGGCCCCCUGGACAAAGACUGACGCUCAGGUGCGAAAGCGUGGGGAGCAAACAGGAUUAGAUACCCUGGUAGUCCACGCCGUAAACGAUGUCUACUUGGAGGUUGUGCCCUUGAGGCGUGGCUUCCGGAGCUAACGCGUUAAGUAGACCGCCUGGGGAGUACGGCCGCAAGGUUAAAACUCAAAUGAAUUGACGGGGGCCCGCACAAGCGGUGGAGCAUGUGGUUUAAUUCGAUGCAACGCGAAGAACCUUACCUGGUCUUGACAUCCACAGAACUUUCCAGAGAUGGAUUGGUGCCUUCGGGAACUGUGAGACAGGUGCUGCAUGGCUGUCGUCAGCUCGUGUUGUGAAAUGUUGGGUUAAGUCCCGCAACGAGCGCAACCCUUAUCCUUUGUUGCCAGCGGUUAGGCC
This 1027-nucleotide ribosomal RNA is filed under the name Salmonella enterica subsp. enterica. RNAcentral's name for it is "bacterial SSU rRNA". It matches the Rfam family "Bacterial small subunit ribosomal RNA", at positions 108 to 1132 of the family's 1533-position model. Lineage: Bacteria; Pseudomonadati; Pseudomonadota; Gammaproteobacteria; Enterobacterales; Enterobacteriaceae. The record is from RNAcentral.